CGUGAUAGCCGGGGAGGUAGCGGCGUCCUGUACCCACAAUCCGCUAUAGUGGGGGUGAUGUCUGCUCUAGGCUUCAUCAUUUUAUAGCCUGCCCUUUGAAUUGGGCGUUGACGGUUGAGUCUUACGCAACAGGAAUUUGUGAACCGUGUCAGGUCCUGACGGAAGCAGCACUAAGCAAACCCUUCUGUGUGCCGUAAGGGUGCUUGGCCCGAGCUUUUUUUCUUUGGUUACGUAUGGAG
This 239-nucleotide signal recognition particle RNA is filed under the name human gut metagenome. RNAcentral describes it as "Bacterial large signal recognition particle RNA". It matches the Rfam family "Bacterial large signal recognition particle RNA". Rfam says of the family: The signal recognition particle (SRP) is a universally conserved ribonucleoprotein involved in the co-translational targeting of proteins to membranes. Archaeal SRP consists of a 7S RNA and homologues of the eukaryotic SRP19 and SRP54 proteins. In most bacteria, the SRP consists of a 4.5S RNA and the Ffh protein (a homologue of the eukaryotic SRP54 protein). The record is from RNAcentral.